This is a non-coding RNA of Pelobates cultripes (western spadefoot toad), 380 nucleotides long. The record is from the annotation of a GenBank genome assembly. NCBI's taxonomy places the organism in Eukaryota, Metazoa, Chordata, Amphibia, Anura, Pelobatidae.
GGAAGCUUCUAGUAUGAGUGUUAUAGAGAGGUGGAAGCUUCUCGUAUGAGUGCUAUAGAGAGGUGGAAGCUUCUAGUAUGAGUGCUAUAGAGAGGUGGAAGCUUCUCGUAUGAGUGCUAUAGAGAGGUGGAAGCUUCUCGUAUGAGUGCUAUAGAGAGGUGGGAGCUUCUAGUAUGAGUGCUAUAGAGAGGUGGGAGCUUCUAGUAUGAGUGCUAUAGAGAGGUGGGAGCUUCUCGUAUGAGUGCUAUAGAGAGGUGGAAGCUUCUCGUAUGAGUGCUAUAGAGGGAUAAGCACAGGCUCCGAUAUAUACAUUACAAACAAAGGGACUGUUAGUAUUCACUCUUGAUAAACUGCUAAUAAUCCCAAUGUCUUUGUUUUGC